RNAcentral lists this transfer RNA (68 nucleotides) under Mythicomyia sp. RNAcentral's name for it is "tRNA-Ser". Lineage: Eukaryota; Metazoa; Arthropoda; Insecta; Diptera; Mythicomyiidae. The record is from RNAcentral.
AGUUAAUGAGCUUGAAUAAGCCUAUGUUUUGAAAACAUAAAAUAGAAAUCAAAAUUUUCUAUUAACUU